AUGGGAAGAAACCUCUUGUGGAUCUUCCCUUGCUCUCCAUCUUCUCCAAAGCCUCCUCCUGAGGGCAGGCCUGUUCUGAAAGCCCCGAUCUCCUGGCUGGCUCUGCCUGGUCCUUCGGAUGCUGAAGACCUGAGGUCAGAAAGCCCUGGACUCAGGAGAAAAAGACUUGGAAGAGGAGACGAGCAGUCGAGAGGAACGUUUCAGGGGAUGAGGAGUGAGCAAAGACGGAAAGCGCUGUCUCCAACUGUCAUCUCGCAGCUCCUCCAACUCCACGUGUGUGAAGUGGCCUCAUCUCAUCCCUAAGCCUUACCUGCUCUUCUUCUGGGUUCAGUAAGUGGGUGAGCGUUGCCUGCUGUUCCUCAUCUCCCGAGCUACUGUGUCCUGGAAUCUUAGUCUUCCUUUCCUUCCCCGACAUGAGCCAAGUUAACAUUAUUCUGUUGAUCACAGAUCUUUUCAUCUCUCUUGGUUCUCUCUGCUGUCAGUGCCAUCCAUGGACUGUGUGGUUACAGCCCUAACUACAUCUCAUCUGCAGUCCAUUCUCCAUACCGUAGCCACAGUGUCUUCUGAAAUAGCAACUUAAUCCAUUCUCCUAUGUAAAAUCCUUUAACAGGAUUCCAUUUGCCUCAGGGUAAAGUCUAAAAUCUUUGUUUUAAAAAAUCUUAUUUAUUUACUUAUUUUAUUACAUUUUAAAGAGGGAGAGAGAGAAAGAGAGAGAGAAAUUGUGUGUUCACUCCCCAAAUGGCUGCAACGGCUGG
This 755-nucleotide long non-coding RNA is filed under the name Oryctolagus cuniculus (rabbit). Its description in RNAcentral is "lncRNA (ENSOCUG00000031216.1)". The record is from RNAcentral. Lineage: Eukaryota; Metazoa; Chordata; Mammalia; Lagomorpha; Leporidae.